Molecule: unclassified non-coding RNA, 908 nt
Filed under: Hevea brasiliensis (rubber tree)
Lineage: Eukaryota; Viridiplantae; Streptophyta; Magnoliopsida; Malpighiales; Euphorbiaceae
Source: RNAcentral
GGAAACUAUGAGAGCGAAACAGGGAAGAAAAGGAAUGUAUACAAUAAAAUACACCAAUAUAAAAACUCUCAAUUAUUAACAAAAAUAAAAAAAGGGUUUUAGAAAUUAAAAAAGAAUUAGAAAAAAAAAGAAAAAAGAGGACAUGUUGUAACAAGCCACUUAGCCGAGCCGAUCGGGGUGAGCGGCAACUGAUCCUGCUCCACCGGCGGAGAGGAGGCCGGUCAGAAAAGUCAUGGCUUUGAUUUGCAUCUGUAGAGCUGAUAUGUAGUCGUUAGUUUCUUCUAGAAGGUUCGUAAACGGGAGUUUCUGACAACCGGGAACUAAACGGCCGAGAACACGAACUUUCCGUUGCAAAGCAGGCAAUCGCUUCUUCGCCGCUGGUUUCUUUGAUUUUAUAUUGCCGCUAUUCAGUUUUGCUUUCUUAUGCUUUUUAUUGAUUUGGCUAAGCCUGAGGCUGAGACGGCCAGUGAGAAUCGCUCUGCUCCAACGACUUCUUCCCUUCGCUGUAACGGCGAGGACUCUGUCGGCGGUCUCCCUGACGGCGCGUCCGGCAUUAACCGGAGAUGGAUUGUCAUUACUCCGGCGAACGUGACGGAGAGCCUGGAGAAGCUUUGAAGAGUAGAUCUGUUGCUCGGUAUCCGUUCUCCACCUGGAUUGAUCAAGGCUCGUUUGUUGCUCAAUUUCCCCAUCAUCUCCAAUUUUUCUUCUCUUUUUGCGCUUGGAUUCUCGCGAGUGACUGGAGUUAACAUCGGGAUUCGAGACGGUUUGAGAUGACGCCAUCAGAAGGAACAAUUUUCUGAUGCAAAAUUCGGAAUGAUUCUCGCGAAUUGUACGUUUGCUUCUCUUCUGUAAAUAGAUGCAAACUGAGUUUUGAGUUUGACGGCGGAGACGGCGGCGGUAGGUGGCGG